AUUGGCAACGCUGCUCGACCACAACAACAAAGGGCCGCGGAGGUGACGGGAGUGACCCCUGACCUGACCCCUGCAGCUGGCGGGUCACGGAGGAGGCGUACAAGGUCAAGAGCUCCCGUGUGACCCUGAGGAGCCAUGAGGAGGGCGUGAGGAGCAUAGGAGGAGCACCAUGGACGGCCGAGAGGUGGUGAUUGGGUUGGUCACCGUUGUCGCCUCGGUGAUCUUUCUCGUAGGCUUUGUGGCCCUGGGCUGGUAUGCAGUGUGGCGGCUGUUCCUCUGUCGCUUUGGCUUCAUCCGGGAGCUGCUGGGGAAUCAACAGGAGGCCGGGCAGUCCAGUGAAGACACGGCGCGGCCCACGGCACGCUCAAGGCCCAGCCGCAAACUUAGGCGAGACUGAUGGCGACUGGUACCUCAUGACACCCUCCGUCUCGCACCUUUCUUUGUCUGUGUCAGCGAUGCAGGAACGUCAUUCUCCCGGCAGUGGAAGCGUCCGAGCCUCUCCUCUCAGCACCACAUGACCACAGUAGUUCCGCCACCAUGACUCCAAACUCCAGUGAAUCACUAUAUCCUCCGACGAAGACCUGAGUUCACCCACCGCAGCCUCACCUUCUCCAUAGCAUGUUAAGAGGUCACUGUUCAAGGUCAGAUGUAGAUUGGGUGGUACGUUUCAGCUCUCAAGACUCCACAUGGUUUCUCCUCGUGGUUUAAGGGAUUGGUUCUGCAAGUUUGCGUUUCUGUGGUGUGUGUGACGUGUGAGUUCCCACCUGCGUCUGUCUGUAAAGUAGGUGAUGUUCACAUAGUUGGUAUACCAGCCCCGCCCCUCUUCGAUAUGCCCCGCCCCCUCUUCAAUAUGCCCUGCCCCCUCUUCGAUAUGCCCCGCCCCCUCUUUGAUAUGCCCCCCCCCCCCCAUGUGGUGCUGAUAUAACCCCCCCAAAGUAGAUGAUUCAUAAACUAACCACAAAUACAUUGAUAUAUAUUAUGAAAUGGUUUGUGUGAGUGAUGAUUUUUUCUCAUUUUUCUCGCUACGAGGGGCCGUUAAAGAAACAUGAUCCCCGCAGCUACCGGGUUAAGGAGGGGGAGAGACUCGUCCCUCAGGCCCUUCUGGUCCCGGUGAUUAACAAGUCGUGUCUUUCCUAGUGUGUCAGACAUGCCAGUGAAAAACAGACAUAUCUUAUGGGACUGAAUAAUUAAUUUUUUUUCUGCUUUCGUAAGUAUAGAUUCAUUUUUCUCCUAAUAUUUUAAAGUGGUCUUAAUUGUAACUUUUAAAAAAUAUAUAAUUGGUAGAGGCACCCACAAGAAGGAGGUCUGUCCGUAACCCUCCCUUCCUGGAUCCUAAAACAAUAGUGUCGAUGCGCUAUAGAGGGUUACAAGCAGCCUCUCUGUAUAGGGUAGAACUGAACCUCCUCCCUGUACGGCCUUAAACGAUAGAACCCACGCACAAACCCUUCCGCUGAGAUGGUUGAACAAAGCGUGUAGGUCGGAUAUGUCUUAAAAUACCGUGCUCUUCAUUGAUAUGGUAAAGGUGAUUUUUUUUUAUUAUUAUUAUUAUUUUUUUUACAGCAGAGGAGACAGUGCAAGGGUGUAAAAAGAAAGAAAACAAUAAUGAAAAACAAAAAAAAGCCUGCUACUUACUAUUGGGGGCAUAUGCUAUAGCUGCGCGUCGCCAUUCAUCUUAAAACGUGCAGCAUCCACGCAAAAUGAUUCACCUGUCAUUCUGAAGCAUACCAGGAGGACUAACGCUGGUAUUUUUAAACACUUCUGCCUCCCACAUCAACUACUUCCAAAGGGCAAAAAGGAGAUCAAUCGGGUUCUCAUGUGUGCUUUUUCUAGGUUCACGGUACAGUAGAAGGCUCAAACUACCACCAGGGUCACAAAACUACCCCUGGAAACGCCCCAAACUCCUACGAAAGCCUUGUCAAAUGUGUGUACUAGGCCGCUGCAAUGUUUAAGAAUACGAGCUUAAGGUCUAUUCUGCCAAAGGUGAGAAUGCGUCAUGAAAGUAGUUCCUCGUCAUGGGUAACAGAGGAAGGCCUUGGCUGCUCUGGUGCUCUGGUGGACAGUUUAUCCGAUGGGAGUUGGGCAAAAUCUGACUUCAGGUGAGAGAGUAGCGGGCGGGACUUCUCCUCUCACGUAUUCUCCCCUUCGCCGGGACAAAUUGAGUCUGCUGGAGUUGAAAUUUGUGAGAUCCUGUAGUGCGGCGACUAGGCCUGAUAAGGGAGCCUCCCAUAACCCACUUGGCGAGAGGAGUACCUCUUUGGCUGACUCGGUAGGGAAUGGCUCUCUCGUCACGCUGGUCGCAGGUUCAAUCCCAGCCCAGUCAGCCGGCGAAUACCCUCUCCUGGUCUUGAUUAAUUUCUUGUGUGUUGUUUCGAUACAUGCAGAGGUCGUGUUGGGAAAUAGAAAAGAAAAAUAAGCUCUCGGGGCAUAACAGUCCAACAUUCAAUACCCAUUUUCUUUACAUAGGGGCUCAAAAAUGGAACGUGAAAAGGUAUUAGGAACAUGAUAGAAAUAUGAGCAUGGAGUAUAACAUCUUUGUCGUCUUCUGUGUGUGUGUGUUUGUAUGUGUGUAUGCUGUUUUUCAAGUCUUGAGAGCACAGUGUUAUUGGUGGGAUCAGUGCCAUAGCAUAGGAGAGGGUUGCCAGCUUCAUCACAGGUGCUGCAUUGUUACCAAGAGAGCUGUACGAAAUUUAUAUUGGCGCUGGUGUGUUUUGGGCGCUGGGUACGGUACUUCUUCCCUCAACUCUUGCCUUUGUUCCCUUCCUCCUGUGCUUUCCAUUACCUCCCUCCCUCCAUCUACUUCUUCCUUCCAUCCCUUUCACUUUGUGCUUCCUUCUCUUCCUCUCUCUCUCCUUCCUUCCUUUUGUCCUUCCUUCUCUUCCUCUCUCUCCUUUCAUUUCUCUCCUUUCUUCCUUCCUUCCCUCCAGUGCCUCCCAUCUCUCACUCUGUCCUUCCUUCUCUUCCUCUCCCUCUCUCCUUCCUUUCCUUCCCUCCAGUGUCUCCCAUCUCUCACUCUGUCCUGCCUUCUCUUCCUCUCUCUCUCUCUCCUUCCAUUUCUCUCCUUCCUUCCAUCCCUUCCACUCUCUCUCUCUCUUCCUCUGAUCAACAAUAUUCAGACUUCCACGUAGGUCUCUCGAUAACGACAUGGUGCCUGUGAAUAACUCGUCCAAGCUCUCCUAUUUGUGACUCUGGGUUAGAUCACAAAGACAAGCUUGGUAUAUGUUAGUCUUUUCUCCCAUACCUCACACCCCGACAGAGGCCCCAGUGAGUCCAGGCAUAAGGGGGCGGGGCAGCAGCUUACGGCUCAGGCCCAGUCACUGUCGUCUUGCAGGGCUUGUGAUAAAACUAGUGAAUAGAGAUGAGUGGCGUCUAUUUUUGUAUCAGUAAGGAGGGGGUUAGCGAGGUAGCGUCAAUGGUAGUGACGGGAGAGGAAGAUAAGGCUUGCAUCUUUAAUUCAAAUACAGGGAAAUAUUGUGUGUGUGUGUGUGUGUGUGUGUGUGUGUGUGUGUGUGUGAAGUGUUGAUUGAUAUUCUCAGGAGCAGCUGAUCUUGGUGGUGUGGAAUACCAUAACGAUUUCUUAGAUUUUAAUUAAACAUCUAUCAGAGCUUUUAACGCCAGGGAAAAGAUCUUAAUUUUUCUGUGUUUCCACCUUCGCUAUGUUUUCAGGAAGUUUCCCAGGUGUUCCACAAUCCUCAUACCAUAUCAAGUUAUGCUUAUACUGAUAGUGUUUAAAGUGUAAUGCAAGAUAAGGUGAUAUGCAAAGAUACUUAAGUUUAACUGUACAGGUGUAUUUUAAAGUGAUUAUCAAAACAUGUAUGGGAAUGGUUUUGUAACGUGCAGAUCUUUGUUGUGUCUGUAAGUGAUGUUAUAGUAACUAUGUGCUGGCCAUAAACUGUAGUGUUUGGAGGAAAUACAUGAAGUUGAUGAUGA
Molecule: long non-coding RNA, 3927 nt
Organism: Eriocheir sinensis (Chinese mitten crab)
Lineage: Eukaryota; Metazoa; Arthropoda; Malacostraca; Decapoda; Varunidae
Exons: 3
Source: RefSeq, a predicted model, not a curated record